This 253-nucleotide ribosomal RNA is filed under the name uncultured bacterium. RNAcentral's name for it is "partial 16S ribosomal RNA". It matches the Rfam family "Bacterial small subunit ribosomal RNA", at positions 524 to 776 of the family's 1533-position model. The record is from RNAcentral.
GACGAAGGGGGCUAGCGUUGUUCGGAAUUACUGGGCGUACAGCGCGUGUAGGCGGUUGUUCAAGUCAGGUGUGAAAGCCUUGAGCUCAACUCAAGAAAUGCACUUGAUACUGGAUGACUAGAGGACCGGAGAGGAUAGUGGAAUUCCCAGUGUAGUGGUGAAAUACGUAGAGAUUGGGAAGAACACCAGUGGCGAAGGCGGCUAUCUGGACGGUUUCUGACGCUAAGACGCGAAAGCGUGGGGAGCAAACAGG